UCUGCUCCAACCUCCCUCAUAACUCGGCUAACUCUAUCUGUGCUUACAACAUUCACACAUAUCAUCACAUGCUACCCAAUACACCUCUCACAAGAGUAAAAGUUUUCAAAUUGUGCUGAGGGGUCAUAUAGACCAUGAACACAUAGUUUUAACGGUAUUCAUACCGCAAAACAUUACCUGGUAUGUUUACAAUCACAAAGAAGGUAAACUACCAUUAAUAGUAC
RNAcentral lists this long non-coding RNA (224 nucleotides) under Panax ginseng (ginseng). Its description in RNAcentral is "long non-coding RNA (PGIN_LNC006010)". Lineage: Eukaryota; Viridiplantae; Streptophyta; Magnoliopsida; Apiales; Araliaceae. The record is from RNAcentral.